Molecule: ribosomal RNA, 251 nt
Filed under: uncultured prokaryote
Description: partial 16S ribosomal RNA
Rfam family: Bacterial small subunit ribosomal RNA
Source: RNAcentral
ACGUAGGGUGCGAGCGUUAAUCGGAAUUACUGGGCGUAAAGCGUGCGCAGGCGGUUUUGUAAGACAGAGGUGAAAUCCCCGGGCUCAACCUGGGAACUGCCUUUGUGACUGCAUGGCUGGAGUGCGGCAGAGGGGGAUGGAAUUCCGCGUGUAGCAGUGAAAUGCGUAGAUAUGCGGAGGAACACCGAUGGCGAAGGCAGCCCCCCGGGCCGAUACUGACGCUCAUGCACGAAAGCGUGGGGAGCAAACAG